This 450-nucleotide long non-coding RNA is filed under the name Elaeis guineensis (African oil palm). RNAcentral describes it as "long non-coding RNA (EGUI_LNC026606)". Lineage: Eukaryota; Viridiplantae; Streptophyta; Magnoliopsida; Arecales; Arecaceae. The record is from RNAcentral.
CUCCCAUGCGCCACAAAUUUUAGGAUGCCAUUCUUCAUCACGCUAAAGAGGUUUUUCCAUGAUAUUUUCUCCAUGAAAAAAUGCCUUCCACCCUCCCUUUCUCACAUCCAAAAUUGGAUAUAAUCUGAUUUUUAUGGUAGGUUCAAAUAUGAUUUGAAUUGGUUAUUAUAUAGGAUAAGGUUUGACCUUAUCUAUAGGCCUUGCCGCCCACUUCCUUUUAUUCCUUUCUUUUGUGUGACAAAUAGAGGAAUAUGUAGCAUGGGAAAUCAGAUAGAAAUCAGUUUUCAUCAUGAAAAAUCAGAUAGGGGGCGUCCCAUAUUUUUUGAGUGGUGGAAUUAUAUGAGGAGGUGACAACAUAUGGAAGAGUCCAAACAUUGUUGGACUCUUCACCCUAACCUCCUUACAUGCCCAAAUAAAAGGAGAUUUUAUUCUCUUUUGUGCGUCUAAGAG